RNAcentral lists this microRNA precursor (138 nucleotides) under Paramuricea clavata. Lineage: Eukaryota; Metazoa; Cnidaria; Anthozoa; Malacalcyonacea; Plexauridae. The record is from RNAcentral.
GCGUACUGUAUACUACCUGCGAACCCAGACGUAAUUUCCUCGUUUCUCGCUCAGUUAUUUUUCGACAUUUCUCGCUCAGUUAUUUUCUGAGCGAGAAAUGAGGAAAUUACGUCUGGGUUCGCAGACUACACUCUACUC